This 364-nucleotide long non-coding RNA is filed under the name Lathyrus oleraceus (garden pea). RNAcentral's name for it is "Pisum sativum (pea) long non-coding RNA (PSAT_LNC005223)". Lineage: Eukaryota; Viridiplantae; Streptophyta; Magnoliopsida; Fabales; Fabaceae. The record is from RNAcentral.
UUUUUAUAAUAUUUUUAUUGAGCCAUAUAUACUCCUAUAAAUAAUGACAUAACUUUGUGUUUAGUCAUUCAUACAUUACUAAAUAACAUCAAAAUUCAUCAUAUUUAGACAAAAACGUUUCAUUCAAUAUACAAAAAAUCAGAUUAGACAAAAGUGGAAUAAAAGACAAAUAUAAAUAGUAGCAUAAAAUAAUAUCAAAGACAUUAUAAUAAAACAUAAAAAAAACAUAUGAGAUGAGAGAUUAGAGAAGAUGAAAAAAAAACAUAAGAGAUGCGAGGUUGAGAAGAAAAGUGCAAUAAAAACAUAAUUGAAAGAGAAAAUAGUAACAUAAAAGAUAAAAAAGAAAGAACAUAAUAGAGGAUUU